This 499-nucleotide ribosomal RNA is filed under the name uncultured soil bacterium. RNAcentral describes it as "bacterial SSU rRNA". It matches the Rfam family "Bacterial small subunit ribosomal RNA", at positions 26 to 523 of the family's 1533-position model. The record is from RNAcentral.
AGAUUGAACGCUGGCGGCAGGCCUAACACAUGCAAGUCGAGCGGUAGAGAGGUGCUUGCACCUCUUGAGAGCGGCGGACGGGUGAGUAAUGCCUAGGAAUCUGCCUAGUGGUGGGGGAUAACGUUCGGAAACGGACGCUAAUACCGCAUACGUCCUACGGGAGAAAGCGGGGGACCUUCGGGCCUCGCGCCAUUAGAUGAGCCUAGGUCGGAUUAGCUAGUUGGUGAGGUAAUGGCUCACCAAGGCGACGAUCCGUAACUGGUCUGAGAGGAUGAUCAGUCACACUGGAACUGAGACACGGUCCAGACUCCUACGGGAGCAGCAGUGGGAAUAUUGGACAAUGGGCGAAAGCCUGAUCCAGCCAUGCCGCGUGUGUGAAGAAGGUCUUCGGAUUGUAAAAGCACUUUAAGUUGGAGAAGGUUGUAACUUAAUACGUUGCAACUUUGACGUUACCGACAGAAUAAGCACCGGCUAAACUUCGUGCCAGCAGCCGCGGUAA